GAUGAACGCUGGCGGCGUGCCUAAUACAUGCAAGUCGAGCGCACGGACGAGAAGCUUGCUUCUCUGAUGUUAGCGGCGGACGGGUGAGUAGCACGUGGAUAACCUACCUAUAAGACUGGGAUAACUUCGGGAAACCGGAGCUAAUACCGGAUAAUAUUUUGAACCGCAUUGUUCAAAAGUGAAAGACGGUCUUGCUGUCACUUAUAGAUGGAUCCGCGCUGCAUUAGCUAGUUGGUAAGGUAACGGCUUACGAAGGCAACGAUGCAUAGCCGACCUGAGAGGGUGAUCGGCCACACUGGAACUGAGACACGGUCCAGACUCCUACGGGAGGCAGCAGUAGGGAAUCUUCCGCAAUGGGCGAAAGCCUGACGGAGCAACGCCGCGUGAGUGAUGAAGGUCUUCGGAUCGUAAAACCCUGUUAUUAGGGAAGAACAUAUGUGUAAGUAACUGUGCACAUCUUGACGGUACCUAAUCAGAAAGCCACGGCUAACUACGUG
Molecule: ribosomal RNA, 497 nt
Filed under: uncultured bacterium
Lineage: Bacteria
Description: partial 16S ribosomal RNA
Rfam family: Bacterial small subunit ribosomal RNA
Source: RNAcentral